RNAcentral lists this transfer RNA (74 nucleotides) under Armillaria novae-zelandiae. It matches the Rfam family "tRNA". Rfam says of the family: Transfer RNA (tRNA) molecules are approximately 80 nucleotides in length. Their secondary structure includes four short double-helical elements and three loops (D, anti-codon, and T loops). The record is from Rfam by way of RNAcentral. Lineage: Eukaryota; Fungi; Basidiomycota; Agaricomycetes; Agaricales; Physalacriaceae.
GGCCGACUAGCUCAGUUGGUUAGAGCGUCGUGCUAAUAACGCGAAGGUCUUGGGUUCGCUCCCCAUGUUGGCCA